AUACGUAGGGGGCUAGCGUUAUCCGGAAUUACUGGGCGUAAAGGGUGCGUAGGUGGUUUCUUAAGUCAGAAGUGAAAGGCUACGGCUCAACCGUAGUAAGCUUUUGAAACUAAGAGACUUGAGUGCAGGAGAGGAGAGUAGAAUUCCUAGUGUAGCGGUGAAAUGCGUAGAUAUUGAGAAGAACACCAGUAGCGAAGGCGGCUUUCUGGACUGUAACUGACACUGAGGCACGAAAGCGUGGGUAGCAAACAGGAUUAGAUACCCUGGUAGUCCACGCCGUAAACGAUGAGUACUAGCUGUCGGGGGUUACCCCCCUCGGUGGCGCAGCUAACGCAUUAAGUACUCCGCCUGGGAAGUACGCUCGCAAGAGUGAAACUCAAAGGAAUUGGCGGGG
RNAcentral lists this ribosomal RNA (394 nucleotides) under uncultured bacterium. RNAcentral describes it as "partial 16S ribosomal RNA". It matches the Rfam family "Bacterial small subunit ribosomal RNA", at positions 523 to 918 of the family's 1533-position model. The record is from RNAcentral.